AGUGGAAUUGCUGGGUUAUAUGGUAAUUCUAUGUUUAGUUUUUUUUAGGAACUACCAAACUAUUUUCCACAACAGCUGUGCUAUUUUAUAUUUCUGUCAGCAGU
RNAcentral lists this microRNA precursor (104 nucleotides) under Marmota monax (woodchuck). Lineage: Eukaryota; Metazoa; Chordata; Mammalia; Rodentia; Sciuridae. The record is from RNAcentral.